Molecule: long non-coding RNA, 1576 nt
Filed under: Felis catus (domestic cat)
Lineage: Eukaryota; Metazoa; Chordata; Mammalia; Carnivora; Felidae
Description: lncRNA (ENSFCAG00000047815.1)
Source: RNAcentral
CGACGUAGGACCUACGUGGCCCCACGGGCAGUCUGUUGGCACUGGUGUGUGUUUACCUGAACCCUUCUGUCUCUGGACCUGGGACCGUUGUCUCCCCUCAGACUACCAUGUCCCCCUUUUCACUCACUGCUUUAGGUCACUACCAAUCUGCCCCCUACUUCUUUCUUCCUAACAGAACCCUGUUUGGUCCAGGUCUUCUUUUUGUCGUCCUUGGUGAGGUGCUUCAGGGGAGGCAACCUGUAUCUCCUUUCCCAGGGGUAGCUUCGGAUUGGCCUAGCCACCACUUCUUAAACUGGACCAUCAUUCAUUGUAAGAACUCUUACAUCACAGCUCAACACACAUGUAAGUAGAAAUGCAUAUGGAGAUAUUUAUAUCUACAUCUGAACUCAAAUUUCAUUAAAAAAGAUAAAGAGUUGGGACCUUCUCCAUUGAUUUUGUUACUUUCAGUUUUUGAUGCAAGGUCUAAGCCAGUCACGUUUGUUCCAUUCACCCCCCUAGUGAUUGUUUUAGGUGAAGACAUGUGAUAACAAUGCUGGUCAAUGAGAAGCUGGGGGCUCCCAUGAAAGAUUUCAACUAAUGACGAAGAGACUGUUCCUUCUGCCGGAUGUUGGGCUGCUCACGUGUGACCGUGAGGUGGAGACGGGCCAAGGAAGGAGCUAGAUCGAGGGGAAGAAGAAAGGCAGCCCAGACGGAUCCUCGACUGUGUUGCUGUAUCCAUCAGUGCCCUGCCAAGCAUUUUAGGAACUUGUGUCUUGAGAUAACCGCCCCCCCCCCACCCCGUUGUUUAAGCCAGUUCAACUGGAGUUUUCUGUUACCUGCAAUGAAGAGGUUCCUAACCAAUAUACUUCCUCACAGUGUCCAGGAAUCAACGAAUCUGAGCUGGACUCUGUGGUGUCCCAGGACCUGAAUACCCUGACUUCCAGCCUCGCUCAAAUUCCCGGCACUUCCAAAAGUGACAACAUUGUCAUUAGGAACUUGAGUUGAUUGCAGAUGACAACAAACUUAACAGGAUAAAAGUUUAAAACUUACAAUUGGCAAAACAAUUGCUAUUGACUGAAACGGAGACUGAGAUGGAAUUUGGAACUCAAUUAUCUAUAAACGUCGCUGCUGUGGUACCUGAACUAUGCAGAUGGUAAAAAUCUGUGUCUAAAAUGUCUUGCAAAACAUGGAGGUUUUCAGCAUCAUUUGGAAACACUCCAAGGGGGCUGACGAUGUGUCCGAAUGCUUGUACGCAGUCACCGUAUAGCUGAUGUGCAAAACAAGAAGGGAUGGGGCCCGAGGAAAAACAGGUGAGUGUGAUUCAGAACGAAAUCCAAACUGUGUGAACGCAACCCUUGGUAUAAGGAUUAUCAUUUUUCAUUCAAAAUUUCGGCAGACAGCGGGCAAAAUGUAAUCACUUUUCAGCAUUACCGUACUGCAUAAGCGUAUUAGAAAAGCUCUGUGAUGGUAAUCAUGUAGUGAACUUGAAACCACCCCUAAUUAAACUGUCUGCAUCCCCAAGCAUUUUCCUGUAAUGAUGUCAAACCGUGUAGCAAUUAGCUGUACCUCUAUGAAUGUAAACACUGUUUGUAAAUCA